AACUUUUGGCAAUGGAUCUCUUGGCUCUCGCAUCGAUGAAGAACGCAGCGAAAUGCGAUACGUAAUGCGAAUUGCAGAAUUCAGUGAAUCAUCGAAUCUUUGAACGCACAUUGCACUCUCUGGUAUUCCGGAGAGUAUGCUUGUUUGAGUAUCUGUAAACAUCUCAACCCUCAAGGCGCUUGCGUCGGGAGGAUUGGACUUGAGUGAUCCCGACUCUUUCUCACGAAAGAGGAGGGUCGCUUGAAAUGCAGGUGCAGCAGGACAUUCUUCUGAGCUAAAAGCAUAUCUAUUUAGUCCCGUCAAACGGAUUAUUACUUUUGCUUCAGCUAACAUAAAGGUCGAAUGCGCCACAAUCGCUGAUUGCAGGAAAACUCGUUCGUAAGAACUUGUAAACUCGAUCUCAAAUCAAGUAAGACUACCCGCUGAACUUAAGCAUAUCAAUAAGCGGAGGC
This 452-nucleotide unclassified non-coding RNA is filed under the name uncultured fungus. RNAcentral's name for it is "sequence contains ITS2". The stretch from base 1 to 154 matches the Rfam family "5.8S ribosomal RNA". The record is from RNAcentral. Lineage: Eukaryota; Fungi.